Long non-coding RNA from Anthonomus grandis grandis, 694 nucleotides. RefSeq lists it as uncharacterized. The transcript has 2 exons. The record is from RefSeq and is a predicted model, not a curated record. Lineage: Eukaryota; Metazoa; Arthropoda; Insecta; Coleoptera; Curculionidae.
UGAGCUGCGAAGAUUGCCAUGCCGUUUAUGUAGGAUUGUAGGCCAAUCUCAGCGUCAAACUCAGACUAGGGUAUUGGAACACCGAAGCCUGUAUAACAAAAUUAGAGCCUCUGAAGGCACGGAAACAAAAUCAACUUUUUUAACUAUCUAUAAGACAUUGUUACACAAUACAAAAAUUGGAAAUAAUAAAAGUCAAGAAUGUCCAGUGCUGAAUGGGAUUUCUAAUUUUGAACCCUACUUAAUCAAACUUUCCAAUCUGUUUCAAAUCAGGCAUUUCCACCAGAUUUUUCUGAUGCAGUACCAAACAAAAGCAACGAAACGCCAGAAGACAGAGAGUCGACAAUAGGUACGAGAACAAGAACAAAUUCUAUUAAAAGCAAACAAUCACACACUCCAGAAGAAACGUGUGCAGCCCCACCAAUUAAAAAGCUACGGAAGUAAUAGGUACUUAACGAAUUUCUAAAACCUUUUUAACGCUUUUUUUCAUUAAUUUUAAUUUUUGUCUAUCUAUUUUUAUGGAAUUAAUUUUUAUAAUUUCUUCUAUGUUGUACCAUGUGCAUGUUCUAAUAUUAGAACGUAAAAUUUUUAAACUUUUUUUGAAUAUUUCGUACAUUUUUAACGUGUAAUAUUCGUCAUUUUUAUUUUAUUUUUAAACUAUGUAUUAAUGUCUAUUAUUAAAAAAUGUUAAUGCAAA